This 492-nucleotide ribosomal RNA is filed under the name uncultured bacterium. RNAcentral describes it as "partial 16S ribosomal RNA". It matches the Rfam family "Bacterial small subunit ribosomal RNA", at positions 29 to 507 of the family's 1533-position model. The record is from RNAcentral.
AGUGAACGCUGGCGGUAGGCCUAACACAUGCAAGUCGAACGGCAGCACAGUAAGAGCUUGCUCUUCCGGGUGGCGAGUGGCGGACGGGUGAGGAAUACAUCGGAAUCUACUUUUUCGUGGGGGAUAACGUAGGGAAACUUACGCUAAUACCACAUACGACCUACGGGUGAAAGCAGGGGAUCUUCGGACCUUGCGCGAUUGAAUGAGCCGAUGUCGGAUUAGCUAGUUGGCGGGGUAAAGGCCCACCAAGGCGACGAUCCGUAGCUGGUCUGAGAGGAUGAUCAGCCACACUGGAACUGAGACACGGUCCAGACUCCUACGGGGGGCAGCAGUGGGGAAUAUUGGACAAUGGGCGCAAGCCUGAUCCAGCCAUACCGCGUGGGUGAAGAAGGCCUUCGGGUUGUAAAGCCCUUUUGUUGGGAAAGAAAAGCAGCAGGUUAAUACCCCGCUGUUCUGACGGUACCCAAAGAAUAAGCACCGGCUAACUUCGUG